RNAcentral lists this ribosomal RNA (253 nucleotides) under uncultured bacterium. Its description in RNAcentral is "partial 16S ribosomal RNA". It matches the Rfam family "Bacterial small subunit ribosomal RNA", at positions 524 to 776 of the family's 1533-position model. The record is from RNAcentral.
UACGGAGGGUGCAAGCGUUAUCCGGAUUUACUGGGUUUAAAGGGUGCGUAGGCGGGUAGGUAAGUCAGUGGUGAAAUCUCCGAGCUUAACUCGGAAACUGCCUUUGAUACUAUUUAUCUUGAAUAUUGUGGAGGUAAGCGGAAUAUGUCAUGUAGCGGUGAAAUGCUUAGAUAUGACAUAGAACACCCAUUGCGAAGGCAGCUUACUACGCAUAUAUUGACGCUGAGGCACGAAAGCGUGGGGAUCAAACAGG